GUCGAACGAGUUCUCGUUGAUGAUCGGUGCUUGCACCGAGAUUCAACAUGGAACGAGUGGCGGACGGGUGAGUAACACGUGGGUAACCUGCCCUUAAGUGGGGGAUAACAUUUGGAAACAGAUGCUAAUACCGCAUAGAUCCAAGAACCGCAUGGUUCUUGGCUGAAAGAUGGCGUAAGCUAUCGCUUUUGGAUGGACCCGCGGCGUAUUAGCUAGUUGGUGAGGUAAUGGCUCACCAAGGCGAUGAUACGUAGCCGAACUGAGAGGUUGAUCGGCCACAUUGGGACUGAGACACGGCCCAAACUCCUACGGGAGGCAGCAGUAGGGAAUCUUCCACAAUGGACGCAAGUCUGAUGGAGCAACGCCGCGUGAGUGAAGAAGGCUUUCGGGUCGUAAAACUCUGUUGUUGGAGAAGAAUGGUCGGCAGAGUAACUGUUGUCGGCGUGACGGUAUCCAACCAGAAAGCCACGGCUAACUACGUGCCAGCAGCCGCGGUAAUACGUAGGUGGCAAACGUUAUCCGGAUUUAUUGGGCGUAAAGCGAGCGCAGGCGGUUUUUUAAGUCUGAUGUGAAAGCCCUCGGCUUAACCGAGGAAGCGCAUCGGAAACUGGGAAACUUGAGUGCAGAAGAGGACAGUGGAACUCCAUGUGUAGCGGUGAAAUGCGUAGAUAUAUGGAAGAACACCAGUGGCGAAGGCGGCUGUCUGGUCUGUAACUGACGCUGAGGCUCGAAAGCAUGGGUAGCGAACAGGAUUAGAUACCCUGGUAGUCCAUGCCGUANACGAUGAAUGCUAGGUGUUGGAGGGUUUCCGCCCUUCAGUGCCGCAGCUAACGCAUUAAGCAUU
This 844-nucleotide ribosomal RNA is filed under the name uncultured bacterium. RNAcentral's name for it is "bacterial SSU rRNA". It matches the Rfam family "Bacterial small subunit ribosomal RNA", at positions 61 to 868 of the family's 1533-position model. The record is from RNAcentral.